AGCUCCAAUAGCGUAUAUUAAUGUUGUUGCAGUUAAAAAGCUCGUAGUUGAAUUUUUUGCUUGGUGAGCUCGGCCCGAGAACUGUCGACCUUUGGUUGGCUCUUGUGAGCAGAUGCGCAUCAGCAAUCCUUCAGGAACGUAUUUCUGCCCUUGAUUGGGUUGGAGAUAUGUUUGUUUCCUGAUCGUUUACUUUGAAAAAAUUAGAGUGUUCAAAGCAGGCAUGUAAUGCUGUGAAUACAUUAGCAUGGAAUAAUGAGAUAGGACUUGCUGGUUCUAUUUUGUUGGUUUCUAGAACUGGAAGUAAUGAUUGAUAGGGAUAGUUGGGGGUGCUAGUAUUCAACGGCCAGAGGUGAAAUUCUUGGAUUCGUUGAAGACUAACUUAUGCGAAAGCAUUCACCAA
RNAcentral lists this ribosomal RNA (400 nucleotides) under phytoplankton environmental sample. RNAcentral's name for it is "partial small subunit ribosomal RNA". It matches the Rfam family "Eukaryotic small subunit ribosomal RNA", at positions 587 to 961 of the family's 1831-position model. The record is from RNAcentral.